GCCUACGGGUAGCAGCAGUGGGGAAUAUUGGGCAAUGGGCGCAAGCCUGACCCAGCAACGCCGCGUGAAGGAAGAAGGCUUUCGGGUUGUAAACUUCUUUUGACAGGGAAGAGCAGAAGACGGUACCUGUCGAAUAAGCCACGGCUAACUACGUGCCAGCAGCCGCGGUAAUACGUAGGUGGCAAGCGUUGUCCGGAUUUACUGGGUGUAAAGGGCGUGUAGCCGGGCUGACAAGUCAGAUGUGAAAUCCGGGGGCUCAACCCCCGAACUGCAUUUGAAACUGUUGGUCUUGAGUAUCGGAGAGGCAGGCGGAAUUCCUAGUGUAGCGGUGAAAUGCGUAGAUAUCACACAGAACACCGAUUGCGAAGGCAUCUCACGAAUCCGCGAUUGACGCUGAUGCACGAAAGCGUGGGUAUCAAACAGGAUUAGAUACCCGUGUAGUC
RNAcentral lists this ribosomal RNA (443 nucleotides) under uncultured bacterium. RNAcentral describes it as "partial 16S ribosomal RNA". It matches the Rfam family "Bacterial small subunit ribosomal RNA", at positions 337 to 795 of the family's 1533-position model. The record is from RNAcentral.